RNA transcript from Harmonia axyridis, 2588 nucleotides. It is a transcript of the gene named short transient receptor potential channel 4-like, with no coding region annotated. Lineage: Eukaryota; Metazoa; Arthropoda; Insecta; Coleoptera; Coccinellidae. The record is from RefSeq and is a predicted model, not a curated record. The transcript has 4 exons.
GGCUCAUAAAAAAUUAUCAAAUGACGUUUACGGCAAUGUCAAAUACUUCUUACGGAGCAGAAAAUAAAAUAUAAGAAUGAGAAGAACCGCUGCUUCUGAUUUGCCACCAAGAGGUCUGAUAACACAACGUGCCCCUACUCUAACUGAUAUUCCUGUUCGGCAUCUUCCAUCUGCUCCUCCGUUACCGACUAGAGUGCACACACAGCCUUUUUUAGCGCAUGCGAGUGUUCCUGGAGGGUUGACUCAAUCGGGGAAUUAUAGAAGGUUCGAAGAUCUGGACUAUGAAAUUGCGCCGAAAUCAAGUAUUUUGCUGCCUCAUCUUCAAGCUAAUGAGAAGAAAUUCUUCGAGUUAGUUCAUUCUGGUGACGUUGAAGAUGUUAGAAAAUUUUUGGAGAACAACCUCGACUUCAACAUCAACUGUGUCAAUUUCCAAGGAGUCUCAGCACUCCUCGUAGCUGUGCAAACCAGAAAUGAUCAUAUGGUGGAAUUUCUCAUUUCUCAAAAUGGUAUAGAUAUAGGAGAUGCAGUACUGCAUGCAGUACGUGAUAACCAGCUGAAAAUAGUGGAGCUCUUACUGGAAAAACUCCAUUCUACCGCUCCCAGCUUGGAGUUCGUAGGUGUGACACAUAGUUCCGAUUUUCCAGACUACAUGACACCAUUAAUAUUGGCUGCGCAAGAAGGUCACUUUGAAAUUAUUGAGAUGUUGAUACAAAGAGGUCAUGUUAUAGCAAAACCACAUUCUCCGAAAUGUAGAUGUGAUGAUUGUAUUCUUCAUCUUGAAAGGGAUGAUCUGUUACAUGCUGAAACUCUCAGGUUGGACUUAUACAAAGCUAUAACCAACCCAGCUUUCAUUUGUCAUUCUACUAAUGACCCCAUACUAACUGCUUUUCAACUUUGUGCAGAACUCAGACUUUGUGCUUGGUUAGUGGUGGAGUUCAGAGAUCAAUAUCAAGAAUUAGCAGAUGCUAUCAGUGAUUUUGCUGUAGAACUAAUAGCAUGUUGUAGAAGCACUACGGAAAUGGAGAUUAUAUUGACGCAGACGGGGGGUUUGCCAUCGAAUAAUUAUCAGUUUCCUAGACUGGUCCUGGCUAUGGACUUGAAACAGAAAUCCUUUGUAGCACAUCCAAAUACUCAGCAGUUGGUGGAAGCAGCUUGGGUAGGUGACUGGCAUGAUUAUAUCAUCAAGCCUACCCUUAUCAAACUGAUAUAUCCAAUAUAUAGGAUAAUCGUUCUUCCUUUUAUUUGUCUGAUGUGUAUCUUCAUACCAAGUCAUCCUUUGGUCUUGCAUUGGAGAAUACCUUUGAAUAAGAUGAUAUCUCACACCGCAGGUUAUCUGGUAUUCUUAGUGAUAAUAUUCUUAGAAUCCAACAUAAGUAAGGAAAAUCAGAAGAGAAAACCCCCAAACAGCGGGCUCGAACCCGUGAUUUGCGUUUUCGUGGCUGGAUACACGUGGAACUGCUUCAGAAUGUGUUUGAUUCAGGGACCUUCAAGAUAUUUUAGAGCACUAUGGAAUUGGCAUGCUGUAUUAACCAAUAUGUUCUUUAUUCUGACCUUUCUCUUCUGGAUUGCUUCCUAUUGGGAUGCCAAGAAGAAUGACCAAGUGGACUUGGAAAGGAAAUAUUGGAAUCAGUUGGAUCCUGUUCUGAUAUCUGAAGGAACUUUCGCUGUCGCAACUGUCAUGGCAUACUUCAGACUUAUGUUCUUCUGCAGGCUGAACUACUACAUGGGACCAGUUCAAAUAUCGCUGGGUAAAAUGUGUGCGGACAUUGCAAAGUACCUGACAAUUUUCAUCAUUAUAUUGAUAUCCUUUACCUGUGCUAUGUGCAGAUUUUAUCAAUACUAUGAUGGUAUGGUUCAAGUCGACGAAAAUGGUAUUAAAACUCAACAAGUAUCUUCGUUCGUUAAUUUCCAAAAAACUCUCAAGACUUUCUUCUGGGGCCUGCUGGGAAUGUCACCUUUAGAAUCAGCCGAUGUGAUAAUUGCUAAUCUACCAGGUCCGAAAGAAAACACCACUAUCAUCAAUAGCCAUGACUUCACAGAAAACAUGGGAUACGUCUGCUUCGCCGUUUACGAGAUGCUGACGAUGACGAUGAUAAUGAAUAUGCUGAUUGCCACCAUGUCUUCCACUUUCCAAAGAGUCCUGGAUAAUUUGAAUACUGAAUGGACCUUCUGGAAGACAGACUUCUACUUGGAAUAUAUGAUUCAGUCUACUCUGCCUCCUCCUUUGAACCUAAUUCCGACCCAGCUUGGAUUCAAUUUAAUCAAGCAGGUAGCCAGCUUCUCUGCUAAUGAUGCUCAAGAUAUUUGGCCACAGGAUGUUCACUCGGAAUAUUAAGCAACGAUUUUAGAAUUGGCAAAUCUACUGCGGCCACUAUAAUACCAUAUGUAUGUGAAACUAUUUGGAAAGAAUUGAGACCCAUUGUUAUGAGUGAACCAACGAAAGAAAAGUGAGGACCAAAGAGCCAGCGAUUAUAAUGCCCUUAUUUCCCAGUUGGUUCAACGAUAUUUCCGAGAGAAGGACACGGUUACAACAACAAGUGAAAUCGAAGAACUUCGCCAAGAGAUCAAUGAGCUCAAACUAGCUUGUA